RNAcentral lists this long non-coding RNA (1510 nucleotides) under Lonchura striata (white-rumped munia). RNAcentral describes it as "domestica (Bengalese finch) lncRNA (ENSLSDG00000010471.1)". The record is from RNAcentral. Lineage: Eukaryota; Metazoa; Chordata; Aves; Passeriformes; Estrildidae.
CUGUGUGUCCGUGUGUUCCCGUGUGUCCGUGUGUUCCCGUGUGUCCCCGUGGGUUGCCGUGUGUUCCCGUGUGUCCAUGUGUCCCCGUUUGUCCGUGUGUUUCCGUGUGUCCGUGUGUUCCCCUGUGUUCCCGUGUGUCCCCCUGUGUUCCCGUGUGUCCAUGUGUUCCCGUGUGUUCCUGUGUGUCCCCCUGUUUCCCUGUGUUCUCGUGUGUGUCCGUGUGUUCCCCUGUGUGUCCGUGUGUUCCCGUGUGUCACCGUGUGUUCCCAUGUGUUGCCGUGUUCCCGUGUGUUCCCGUGUCUCCCUGUGUGUUGCCGUGUGUUGCCAUGUGUACGUGUGUUGCCGUGUGUCCCUGUGUGUUGCCGUGUGUUCCCGUGUGUCCCCGCGUGUUCCUCUGUGUUCCCGUGUGUUCCCCGGUGUCCAUGUGUUCCCGUGUGUCCCCGUGUGUUGCCGUGUGUUGCCAUGUGUUGACGUGUGUUGCCGUGUGUUGCCGUGUGUUCCCGUGUGUCCGUGUGUUCCCGUGUGUUCCCGUGUGUCCGUGUGUUCCCGUGUGUCCCUGUGUUCCCCUGUGUUCCCGUGUGUCCCCGUGUGUUCCUCUGUGUUCCCGUGUGUUCCCCUGUGUCCGUGUGUUCCCAUGUGUCCGUGUGUUCCCGUGUGUUCCCAUGUGUUCCCCUGUGUUCCCAUGUGUCCGUGUGUUCCCGUGUGUCCCCGUGUUUCCCUGUGUUCCCGUGUGUGUCCGUGUGUUCCCCAGUGUGUCCGUGUGUUCCCGUGUGUCCUCCUGUGUUCCCGUGUGUUCCCCUGUGUUCCCGUGUGUCCGUAUGUUGCCGUGUUGCCGUGUCUUCCCGUGUGUCCGUGUGUUCCCGUGUGUCGUGUGUGUUGCCGUGUGUUGCCGUGUGUUGCCGUGUGUUCCCGUGUGUCCCUGUGUUCCCCUGUGUUCCCGUGUGUUCCCGUGUGUUCCCGUGUGUCCCUGUGUUCCCCUGUGUUCCCGUGUGUUCCCGUGUGUCCCUGUGUUCCCGUGUGUCCCUGUGUUCCCCUGUGUUCCCGUGUGUGUCCGUGCGCUCUCCCGUGUCGCUCCGCGCUCGCUGAGCGCUCGCGGCUCUCUCGCGGCGCACGCACUGCGCUCACGCCUCUGCGCAUGUCCGCGCACGUGAGCGCUCGCGUGUCCAGGUUUGCUGUCGCGUGCGCCAGUGUUUUGCGCGCGAGGGGCCGCGCAUGCGCGGUGCGGCGGCCGCGCCCGUUCCGCGCCGGACGUGGCAGCGGCGGGAGCGAUGCGGGCGGUGCCGCCGGGGCCGGGGCCGGGGCCGGGGCUGUGGCUGGUGUUGACGGGUGCGCUGGUGGCGGGCAGCGGCUCGGAGCACCCCCGGCUGCGCCAGACCGUGCUGCGGGACCUGGCCCGCGGCAAGGUGGAGGUGAGCGCGGGCGGGGAGCGCGGGGCGCGCCGGGCGGAGCCGGUGCCCGCUGGUGCGUGACGCGUGUCCUCUCCCGCAGAGCUGCGGCGGGUGACGGCUGA